CAAACGACUCUCGGCAACGGAUAUCUCGGCUCACGCAUCGAUGAAGAACGUAGCAAAAUGCGAUACUUGGUGUGAAUUGCAGAAUCCCGUGAACCAUCGAGUUUUUGAACGCAAGUUGCGCCCGAAGCCAUCCGGUCGAGGGCACGCCUGCCUGGGCGUCACGC
Molecule: ribosomal RNA, 164 nt
Filed under: Hypochaeris chillensis
Lineage: Eukaryota; Viridiplantae; Streptophyta; Magnoliopsida; Asterales; Asteraceae
Also listed under: 8 other names
Description: 5.8S ribosomal RNA
Rfam family: 5.8S ribosomal RNA
About the family: 5.8S ribosomal RNA (5.8S rRNA) is a component of the large subunit of the eukaryotic ribosome.
Source: RNAcentral